RNAcentral lists this ribosomal RNA (333 nucleotides) under Martes foina (beach marten). RNAcentral's name for it is "partial 12S ribosomal RNA". It matches the Rfam family "Bacterial small subunit ribosomal RNA", at positions 373 to 910 of the family's 1533-position model. The record is from RNAcentral. Lineage: Eukaryota; Metazoa; Chordata; Mammalia; Carnivora; Mustelidae.
GAACGAAAGUUUGACUAAGCCAUGUUAAUAUCAAGAGUUGGUAAAUUUCGUGCCAGCCACCGCGGUCAUACGAUUAACCCGAAUUAAUAGGCCCACGGCGUAAAACGUGUUAAGGAUUAUAAAACACUAAAGUUAAAAUUUAACCAGGCCGUAAAAAGCUACUGUUAAUACAAAAUAUACCACGAAAGUGACUUUAUUAUUUCCAACAACACGAUAGCUGGGACCCAAACUGGGAUUAGAUACCCCACUAUGCCCAGCCCUAAACACAAAUAAUUUACACAACAAAAUUAUCUGCCAGAGAACUACUAGCAACAGCUUAAAACUCAAAGGACU